RNAcentral lists this ribosomal RNA (364 nucleotides) under Cychrus caraboides. Its description in RNAcentral is "SSU rRNA". It matches the Rfam family "Eukaryotic small subunit ribosomal RNA", at positions 583 to 885 of the family's 1831-position model. The record is from RNAcentral. Lineage: Eukaryota; Metazoa; Arthropoda; Insecta; Coleoptera; Carabidae.
UUCCAGCUCCAAUAGCGUAUAUUAAAGUUGUUGCGGUUAAAAAGCUCGUAGUUGAAUUUGUGUCCCGCGCUGUCGGUUCACCGCCCGCGGUGUUUAACUGGCACGAUCGCGGGACGUCCUGCCGGUGGAUGUGUGUGGUGCAAUGUUUCGGCACUGUGUCACCGCAUCCGACUCAACAAUCCUGUCGCGGUGCUCUUAAUUGAGUGUCGAGGCGGGCCGGCACGUUUACUUUGAACAAAUUAGAGUGCUCAAAGCAGGCUAAAAUUUCGCCUGAAUACUGUGUGCAUGGAAUAAUGGAACAGGACCUCGGUUCUAUUUUGUUGGUUUUCGGAACCCCGAGGUAAUGAUUAAUAGGGACAGAUGG